RNAcentral lists this long non-coding RNA (2107 nucleotides) under Homo sapiens (human). Its description in RNAcentral is "HSALNT0321735". The record is from RNAcentral. Lineage: Eukaryota; Metazoa; Chordata; Mammalia; Primates; Hominidae.
GUCUUCCAGGAGCGCGCUUGAGCGGACGCUGCCUACCGGUGGCCGGGCGGGAUGUAACCCGCUGCUGAGCUGGCAGCUCUGUGUCGCUAGGCUUCGGCCCGGCCGCCGCCGCACAUAAGCUGCGAGGAGGAGCUUUACGACUUCCCGGUCUUCGGGGCCGGGCGCAGCAAGGGCCAGACUCUGCGCUAGCAGGCGCUGCGCGCCAACCGGCCGGCACCUGUCGCAGAAGGUGCAACCGAUCGCACUGUCGCGCCGAAGCUCCUCAAUGGCCAGCGCCAGCUGCAGCCCCGGCCGCCCACUCGCCUCACCUGAGCCUGGGUACGUGCGCCCCACAACACCUCCCCCAGGCAGGGCCCGGGGACCCCCGGGAGCGUCCCCGGCUACCUGGCGCCGCUCAUCCUGGGUAGGGUUGGCCCCCUCUGAGGCUGCCCGGCAUGAGGGAGCUGCACCCCUGAGCUUGACCUCUGACGGCCCUUUGUAAUAGCAUUAAGUCUUUGAAACUUUGUAGCGGGGUAGAAGGGGCUAGGAAACGAAGAAAACAUCUUUUUAAAAAUAUAAGCGGUCGGCUGGGCGAGGUGGCCCACGCCUGUAAUCCCAGCACUUUGGGAGGUCGAGGCGGGUGGAUCACGAGGACAGGAGUUCAAGACCAGCCUGGCCAGCAUGGUUUCACUGAAACCCCGUCUCUACUAAAAACACAAAAAUUAGUCGGGCGUGGUGGCGGGUGCCUGUAAUCCCAGCUACUCGGGAGGCUGAGGCAGAGAAUUGUUUGAACCCGGGAUGCGGAGGUUGCAGUGAGCGGAGAUCGCGCCACUGCACUCCAGCCUGGGCAACAGACCAAGACUCCGUCUAAACAAACAAAUAUAUGUGUGUAUAUAUAUGCGAUCGAGCCCGGGAGGUUGAGAUUACAGUGAGCUGAGAUUAUAUAAGCGAUCAAGCACUGGAGGUUGAGGUUACAGUGAGCUGAGAUUGCGCCAUUGCACUCCAGCCCGUGUAACAGAGGGAGACUCUGUCUCUAAAAAAUUAUAUGCAAGUGAGCGCUUUUCUUCCAGCGCUCAUGCUCAGACUGAAGAAAGUAAUUGGGCCAGGCCUGGUGGCUCACGCCCAUAAUCCCAGCAUUUUGGGGAGGCGGAGGCGGAGGCGGAAGCGGGUGGGUCGCUUGAGCUCAGGAAUUCCAGACUAGUUUGGGCAACAUGGUGGAACCCUGUCUCUACAAAAAUACAAAAAAUUAGCUGGGCAUGGUGGCACGCACUUGUAGUCUCCGCUACUUGCCGGGCUUAGGCGGGAGGAUCGCUCGGCUGCAGCCUCGACCUCCUGGGGCAAUCCAUUUCAGCCUCCCAAAGUGCUGAGAUUACAGGAAUGAGCCAUCGUGCCUGGCUUUGCACUAUAUUUUAAUACUUUUUUUGAAAAUGGAAACUUUUACAGGCAAUUUACUUCAAACUAAUGAUAAGGAAGUGAUGCUGUUCUGUUCUGUUUUGUUGUUUUUGUGUUUUUUUUUUUUUCUUUUUUGAGAUGGGGUCUUGCCCAGGUUGGAGUGAGGUGGUGCAAACAAGGCUCACUGCAGCCUUGACCUUCUGGCUCAAGGAAUCCUUCCCCGUCAGCGUCCCCGGUAGCUAGGACUACAGGUGCGCACCACCACACCCAGGAGUUCAAGGCUGCAGUGAGCCAUGAUCGUACCACUGCACUCCAGCCUGGGCAACACAGCGAGACCCUGACUCCACAAAUAAAUAAAUCAACAUCAUAUGAUCUGUACCAGGGUAUAGGCAGGUGCUAUGAUCCCCACUUUUCAUCCUCAACUCUAAGUUGAGUCAUACAUCAACCUCUAGUAAAAAGUGGCAUGCUCUCAGUCAAAGGGGUAAGCCCAAACCACGUGGAGAGAAUCUUAUCUCUUUUGAGAGCUAAUAUAAAAAGAAUUCCUCCUAGGCAUAAAAAUAUUGUGACAUCAGUUACUUAGGCUAAACAUGCCUAUUAUGCUAAGUGAGUUAUUAACAAUAAAUACUUUAACUCUGUGCCAUGUUACUUAUCAUAAUCUGAUUUAUAAUUUGUUUUAACCUUAGGUUAUAUAUACCUUGAAGCCAUUUAUAUUUUGGUAUACUUGUAAUAAUUACUA